RNAcentral lists this non-coding RNA (108 nucleotides) under Escherichia coli. Its description in RNAcentral is "antisense sRNA RprA". It matches the Rfam family "RprA RNA". Rfam says of the family: Translational regulation of the stationary phase sigma factor RpoS is mediated by the formation of a double-stranded RNA stem-loop structure in the upstream region of the rpoS messenger RNA, occluding the translation initiation site. Clones carrying rprA (RpoS regulator RNA A) increased the translation of RpoS. The record is from RNAcentral. Lineage: Bacteria; Pseudomonadati; Pseudomonadota; Gammaproteobacteria; Enterobacterales; Enterobacteriaceae. RNAcentral also lists the same sequence under 1 other name.
ACGGUUAUAAAUCAACAUAUUGAUUUAUAAGCAUGGAAAUCCCCUGAGAGAAACAACGAAUUGCUGUGUGUAGUCUUUGCCCAUCUCCCACGAUGGGCUUUUUUUUAA